GGACUACCGGGGUAUCUAAUCCUGUUCGCUCCCCACGCUUUCGCUCCUCAGCGUCAGUAUCGGCCCAGAGACCCGCCUUCGCCACCGGUGUUCCUCCUGAUAUCUGCGCAUUUCACCGCUACACCAGGAAUUCCAGUCUCCCCUACCGAACUCAAGUCUGCCCGUAUCGACUGCAAGCCCACAGUUAAGCUGUAGGUUUUCACAGUCGACGCGACAAACCGCCUACGAGCUCUUUACGCCCAAUAAUUCCGGACAACGCUCGCACCCUACGUAUUACCGCGGCUGCUGGCAC
This 292-nucleotide ribosomal RNA is filed under the name uncultured bacterium. RNAcentral describes it as "partial 16S ribosomal RNA". The record is from RNAcentral.